GUCUACUGCUAUAACACCCUGAAUCGCCUAGUCUCUUCUGAGACCAGAAGCUAAGCAGGGUAGGGCCUGGUUAGUACCUGGAUGGUAGAAA
RNAcentral lists this ribosomal RNA (91 nucleotides) under Dipodomys ordii (Ord's kangaroo rat). The record is from RNAcentral. Lineage: Eukaryota; Metazoa; Chordata; Mammalia; Rodentia; Heteromyidae.